This is a non-coding RNA of Paramuricea clavata, 234 nucleotides long. The record is from the annotation of a GenBank genome assembly. Lineage: Eukaryota; Metazoa; Cnidaria; Anthozoa; Malacalcyonacea; Plexauridae.
GAUGCAUACAUUCUUUUGUGAAUUAUUUGAUUGAACUGCUAACAACAAUAGCCCGCCGACAUACCGCAGUUAUAUGUGAACCAGACUUAAUGGUCUUUUAUUAUUCUUAAAAAUAAUUAAUAAUUCAUGAGGAAAAGACAAACCACUACCGUGUCGGUGGUUUUAUAUGUGAUAAAAAACGUCCUUGAGUUUUACAAGUGCAUGUUUUACAAGUGCAUGUUUUACAAGUCCAUG